Molecule: ribosomal RNA, 500 nt
Filed under: uncultured bacterium
Lineage: Bacteria
Description: partial 16S ribosomal RNA
Rfam family: Bacterial small subunit ribosomal RNA
Source: RNAcentral
AUUGAACGCCGGCGGAAUGCUUUACACAUGCAAGUCGAACGGCAGCACGGACUUCGGUCUGGUGGCGAGUGGCGAACGGGUGAGUAAUGUAUCGGAACGUGCCCAGUCGUGGGGGAUAACGUAGUGAAAAUUACGCUAAUACCGCAUACGAUCUAUGGAGGAAAGCGGGGGAUCGCAAGACCUCGCGCGAUUGGAGCGGCCGAUAUCAGAUUAGGUAGUUGGUUGGGUAAAGGCCCACCAAGCCAACGAUCUGUAGCUGGUCUGAGAGGACGACCAGCCACACUGGAACUGAGACACGGUCCAGACUCCUACGGGAGGCAGCAGUGGGGAAUUUUGGACAAUGGGCGAAAGCCUGAUCCAGCCAUUCCGCGUGCAGGAUGAAGGCCCUCGGGUUGUAAACUGCUUUUGUACAGAACGAAAAGGUUUCUACUAAUACUAGGAGCUCAUGACGGUACUGUAAGAAUAAGCACCGGCUAACUACGUGCCAGCAGCCGCGGUAA